CCGACGGUGAGAGGCGAAAGCUGGGGGAGCAAACCGGAUUAGAUACCCGGGUAGUCCCAGCUGUAAACGAUGCGCGUUAGGUGUGUCAGUGACCACGUGUCACUGAUGUGCCGAAGGGAAACCGUGAAACGCGCCGCCUGGGGAGUACGGUCGCAAGGCUGAAACUUAAAGGAAUUGGAGGGGGAGCACCACAACGGGUGGAGCCUGCGGUUUAAUCGGACUCAACGCCGGAAAUCUCACCGGAUAA
RNAcentral lists this ribosomal RNA (247 nucleotides) under uncultured archaeon. RNAcentral describes it as "partial 16S ribosomal RNA". It matches the Rfam family "Archaeal small subunit ribosomal RNA", at positions 691 to 937 of the family's 1478-position model. The record is from RNAcentral.